Molecule: long non-coding RNA, 2331 nt
Filed under: Dasypus novemcinctus (nine-banded armadillo)
Lineage: Eukaryota; Metazoa; Chordata; Mammalia; Cingulata; Dasypodidae
Description: lncRNA (ENSDNOG00000052005.1)
Source: RNAcentral
UUCAGAGACCUUAUACACAGUAGAAAGAAACUGUUCCUUUUCCUAUAUGGUUGUCAGCUUGUAAACUAUUUGAGCUACAGUGCCGGUUCCCAGCAACCACAUCUUGUGCAUUUUUCGGUUGAGCUGGGCUCCUCCUUCCUAUGUGGCAGAAGCAGUCUUGUACCUCCCACGUUCAUCACCUGUUGUGUCUUACUAAGACCUGGAAUGGAAGGAAGGAAAUGGUGGAAUGGUGGAAUAUCUUGGUCUGAAGUCCAUAGCAGGGCUGGAGGUCGGAGCCCUUAGGAAGCUGAGUUCAUCUGCCUUCCAGGCUCAGCUGGAUUCAUUUGGAUUGGAGAUGGAUCAUCCAUCGUGAGGCCUUUCUUCCAUGGUUUCAUCGGGCCAGAGGAUUGUGGCAUACGUGGCGAGUCUCUGCACCGGAACCCUUAGGUUGCUCUUUGCCUGAACACAAAAGAUUUUCCCAGCCGAGGCCCUCCCCCGUCUCCCUCCCAGCAGCGGGAGGCUGAGGAGAAGCUUCCCCUUUCCGCGGCGGCGAGGACACCCGCACGCCCUGCGCUCCGCGCUGCGCCUUCCACCCGCCCAGCCCGGCCUGGGGGUCCCCGCCAUGCGCCCCGAUCGCAGCGCCCUCCUGGGCCUCGGGCUCUGUCUGGGCCGGGUGAUCCUCGCGCAGGCAGGUGAGUCUUUUCUUCAAAGGUGCUCAGGGCAGCUCUGGGCGGGGGUCCUGUUGAUUCUGCAGGGCUGGAGGGGGCCCUCGAUGUACCCCACAUUCCAAGUGACCCCGGAGGCAUAACCCCAGCCCACUUCUCUCUGCCUUUCUCCACAGUACCUUGUAGCUCUGCUCAGUGCAUCCAAGACAGCUCACCUUCACAGGACAGCGGGGACCCCCAGCUCUCCCCAUAAAACUAGAUGCCCCUCAGGGUCCCUGGGCAGGGAAAUUGUAGGGGCAAAGGGCAGAAUCUGAGAAUGCAUCCGAACCCCUGCUUCUCUGACCCCUGAUACAUAAUAUACCCCGGGUCCUGUUGAUUUUACCCCGUUUAUACCGUUCCCCCCCCCACCCAGCUACCUCCCCUCUCGCCCCCACGGCCUCCUCCUGGUCUGCGUCCACGCCUGCCCUGGCCUGCCUUCUGCCUUCUGCCUUCACACCAAAGCAACAAUUGUUUGCACUUUAAAACAUGCUCACUUUACUUCCCAUAAAUUGUUUUGUUUAUAAUUUUCAUUAUUUUUAAAAACAUAUUAAGGCAAAUUUUGUUUUCCAUGAAGCCCUCCCAUAGGUGAUCUUUGGGUAGAAUCUCUUUCUUCUGGACUCCUUAUCUUCCCACCACAUCCUGCACCCUGCGGUCUGCUCACAGCUCCAGAUGCCUCUGCUUCCUUCUAGUUCCUCCAACAAGCCAUACUCGAACUUUCUCAAGCGCUGACUUUCCCCCUUACCCUGUCCGCUCAGCUUGGGUAACUUGCACUUGUCCCUCAGAGCUCAGCUCAAGGUGCUCAGAGAGUGGUCAGCAGCCCUCACACCUGUCCUCCUGGAUCCCUGGACUCAACCCUGUGGACACCUAUCUCAGUUUGCAGCUGUGGGUUUGGAGAAUUGUUUGGUGGCCGUUUGUCCUCACUCCUGGAUGCUCAGCUCCAGGGGGGCAGAGAUCCUGAGCAUCUCAUACUUGCAAAACUCAUGGCAGUGGGAGGCAUCUACCAACUAGAGGGAGAAGGAGCCACUAUAUUGCUGGGUGGAUGAGUGAAUGAAUGAGUGACUGAAUGAGUGAAUGAAUAAGUGAAUGAGUGAGUGAAUGAAUGAAUGAGUGAAUGAGCGAGUGAGUGAAUGAGUGAGUGAGUGAAUGAAUGAGUAAAUGAAUGAGUGAAUGAGUGAGUGAAUGAGUGAAUAAAUGAAUGAGUGGAUGUAUGAGUGAAUGAGUGAGUGAGUAAAUGAAUGAGUAGAUGAAUGAGUAAACGAAUGAAUGGUUGAGUGCAGCCUCUGCAGGGUCUGACCCUCGGAUGUGCUAACUCUGACACAACCGUCCUGUCUGAGGCCUCAGACCCAGGCUGCCCCCUCAGGCCGGUUGUGAAAGGCUGGGGAUUUUCAAGAGAUGAAAUAACCAGCAGGUGGAGAGAGGGCAGAGGCAGGGCAGACAGAGAGGGACGCCUGUGCUGGGCUUUACCAGCCCCCACGGGAUUCUCACAGAGCCUUGGGCAUGCCCCUCUCCCAGCCCCAGGCACUGGCCAGCUGCCCCCAACCCCACCUGGGCACUGACCAGCUGCCCCCCAGCCCCACCUGGGCACUGACCAGCUGCCCCCCAGCCCCACCUGGGCACUGACCAGCUGCCCCCAAUCUCACCUGGGCAC